AUGUACGGUCACAUUGGAUUUGAAAACGACAUCCUUUCUUCCAUAGAUCCACGCUACCUGAAAGAAGGCCGCCUUCUGAAUCCAACGAUACCAGUUAUGUGCACAUCGGACCUACGCUUCAAAAGAUACGGACAGGUAUUGCUGGAAUGUCCCUUUAAUUUCUGCAGGAGUCCAGUCCUCCUCCCAGAGGCCCCUGGAAACCCCUUCGUUGAGGACCGUCGUCGCGUUCGUCUCCAGGUUUCUCCGAUCUGACAGAAAUAUCAGGAGCACGUCCAUCAUAUAGUUGAAGAAGGCCUGCUGCCUUUCAGUCAGCCUCUCCCGUGCAUCUGAUCUCUCUGGCCAGAAUGGCUCCAGGAUCUCGUCCAGCUCUUCGGACCGUCUCUGCUUCCGUUCAGGAGCACACUCGGCCGAGGAAGCUGGUCUCUUCUGGCCUCCUGAGUGUGCAGGAGCACCGCUGCCCUUUCCUUCCAGCUGCUUUCUCAGCUCCUCUAUCUCUUGGCCUUGCUCUGCUACGCGUGAUUUUAAGGCGCUGAGCUCGGUCUUAAGUGCAGCCAUGUCACUGAUCAUCUGGUGAUCUAGUGAUUCACGGAGGCUUUUGUUACUUUCUUUUAAUUUCUGAAAUUCCUCACUUGCAUACUUUUCCAGGGAAUUCAGCUGACCAAUCAUCGACUCCUCGAAAGGCAAGUCCAGGUCAUCUUCCGAGCUGCUAAUCUCUGUCAUUUUCUUUUCCUGAUAGGAAAGCACAGAACAGAAAAUUAUAAUUGGAAAUAUCAUGUGGAAUCUGUUAGAGGGAACAUCCUUAGGUGCAAAAAUGGUAUUGAAAACAAAGUGUACACAAUGCAUAAAGUGUUUUCUUUGAGUGCUUAGAUUUAGGGUGACGUGUUUUCGACUAGCGGUAGAACAACAACAGAAUGACGCAUGCGUGUGCGUUUGUUCAGCGAUAAUCGAUCACAUAUCGACACAAUCCCUUUAUAAGCCCGUCGUUACUGGUGAAUAAAGGAUAAUAAAUAAGUCCCGUCGUUUCUGUACGGAAAUGUUCUCUGUUGCGCGUGCGUGCUUGUUCUGCAGCAUGUUACAAUGUAACACGGGUCACCCUCGACAGACGCACGCCCGGAAAGUUUAAGAUGCUUGAUCGUCAGCACGGAAAAGGUCGAAAGAAGAAACGCGCCCCAAAUAGAAUAACGAUGCACAUCUGUCAUUGAACCGUUACUUCAUUAUUACAAGUAUUGAUAUUAGUCCUAUUACACCGAUCCACCGUCGCCGAGUUUCAAAAACGAAUGCAUCUUUUGUGGAAUAGCCGUUUCAUUCAAUGCAGAUUUCGAAAAACAAAAGAUGUUUGACUCUUUUCUCUCUCUUUUUUACCUUGAUUCUCGACCGAUCGACGGCGUCACUCCGAAUAGGGCAGAUGAUGCGGCGGAAUCAACAAGUCCACUUUGAGUGACAGCCGGGCUCCCGCUCCUCUGACGAGCGCUCCUGGAGACACGCCCCCAGCGGAAGACGACAGGUAGUUCACCACGGGACCGUAAUGUCUGACAGCCUAAUAUGAAACCCACUACUCUCUCUCUCUCUCUUUCUCUAAUCAAAUUUUUUUUUUUUUUUUUAUUCUGUGGCUCUCACUAGUAGGCAACAUAGUACGAUAGCUUUCAUUUCUUCAGGGUCUCUAGACGAUACAUAAUUUGGG
This 1681-nucleotide long non-coding RNA is filed under the name Carassius auratus (goldfish). Its description in RNAcentral is "lncRNA (ENSCARG00000021931.1)". Lineage: Eukaryota; Metazoa; Chordata; Actinopteri; Cypriniformes; Cyprinidae. The record is from RNAcentral.